RNAcentral lists this microRNA precursor (84 nucleotides) under Rhinopithecus bieti (black snub-nosed monkey). RNAcentral's name for it is "miRNA (ENSRBIG00000019668.1)". The record is from RNAcentral. Lineage: Eukaryota; Metazoa; Chordata; Mammalia; Primates; Cercopithecidae.
UAUUAAGUUGGUGCAAAAGUAAUAGUGGUUUUUGCUGUUUUACAAAAUGAUAAAAACUGUGAUUACUUUUGAACCAAUCUAAUA